Molecule: ribosomal RNA, 1394 nt
Filed under: Kudoa clupeidae
Lineage: Eukaryota; Metazoa; Cnidaria; Myxozoa; Multivalvulida; Kudoidae
Description: SSU rRNA
Rfam family: Eukaryotic small subunit ribosomal RNA
Source: RNAcentral
UAAUCUAGAGCUAAUACAUAGCAAAUCUCGCUUGUAAUAGAGCGGGAGCAUUUAUUAGACUCAACCAACUGACUUCGGUCAUUUGAUGAAUCCUAAUAACUGUGCAUAUCNGAACAUUCAUUUGUCGAUAGUCCGAUCGAAUUUCUGCCCUAUCAACUAGUUGGUGAGGUAGUGGCUCACCAAGGUUGUGACGGGUAACGGGGGAUCAGGGUUCGAUUCCGGAGAGGGAGCCUGAGAAACGGCUACCACAUCUAAGGAAGGCAGCAGGCGCGCAAAUUACCCAAUCCAGACUUUGGGAGGUAGUGACGAGAAAUACCGGAGUAGACCUUUAAUUGGUUCACUAUCGGAAUGAACGUAAUCUAAUACCUUCGAUGAGUAGCUACUGGAGGGCAAGUCUGGUGCCAGCAGCCGCGGUAAUUCCAGCUCCAGUAGUGUAUAUCAAAAUUGUUGCGGUUAAAACGCUCGUAGUUGGAUUACAAAAGCUCUUUGGUGGCCAAAUCAAGGUUUGGUCGCUGUGGGGUUUUUUUAUCGCGAGAGCCAUAUGUGGGAUUAAAUUCUUGUGUGUGGUCACUUGCGAGGUGUGCCUUGAAUAAAGCACAGUGCUCAAAGCAGGCGAAAGCUCGAAUGUUAUAGCAUGGAACGAUUAUGUUGACCUUGUUGACUGUUGGUUGUUGACAGUGGUCCCGAUUAAAAGGGACAUUUGAGGGCGUUAGUACUUGGUGGCGAGGGGUGAAAUCCUUAGACCCAUCAAAGACUAACUAAUGCGAAAGCAUUCGCCAAGAAUGUUUUCAUUAAUCAAGAACGAAAGUUGGAGGUUNCGAAGACGAUCAGAUACCGUCCUAGUUCCAUACAGUAAACUAUGCCAACAUGGGAUUAGCCCGGUUUAAUCCAGGUUGGGCCCUCAGUGAAAAUUAGUGUUUCGGUUCUGGGGAGAGUGCUCACGCAAGUGAUAAAUUUAAAGAAAUUGACGGAAAGGCACCACCAGGAGUGGAGCCUGCGGCUUAAUUUGAUUCAACACGGGGAAACUCACCAGGUCCAGACAUUGAUAGGAUUGACAGACUGAGAGAUCUUUCAUGAUUUGAUGAUUGGUGGUGCAUGGCCGUUCUUAGUUGGUGGAGUGAUCUGUCAGGUUUAUUCCNGGUAACGAGCGAGACCACGAUCUUUAAUUGAUUACNGGUUAAAUUGUCUUGACCGAUCUUAAAGAGACCACCGGAGUUAAGCCGGGGGAAGCGUGGCAAUAACAGGUCUGUGAUGCCCUUCGAUGUUCUGGGCUGCACNGUGUGCNUACAAUGAUAGUGACAACAAGUACCUGCCCUGAGAGGGGUGGGAAAUCUUAAAAAUCGCUAUCUUGCUUUGGACCUGAGCCCUUGUAAUAAUUGCUCACGAAAGARGAA